RNAcentral lists this ribosomal RNA (396 nucleotides) under uncultured bacterium. RNAcentral describes it as "partial 16S ribosomal RNA". It matches the Rfam family "Bacterial small subunit ribosomal RNA", at positions 523 to 918 of the family's 1533-position model. The record is from RNAcentral.
AUACAGAGGGUGCAAGCGUUAAUCGGAUUUACUGGGCGUAAAGCGCGCGUAGGUGGCUAAUUAAGUCAAAUGUGAAAUCCCCGAGCUUAACUUGGGAAUUGCAUUCGAUACUGGUUAGCUAGAGUAUGGGAGAGGAUGGUAGAAUUCCAGGUGUAGCGGUGAAAUGCGUAGAGAUCUGGAGGAAUACCGAUGGCGAAGGCAGCCAUCGGGCCUAAUACUGACACUGAGGUGCGAAAGCAUGGGGAGCAAACAGGAUUAGAUACCCUGGUAGUCCAUGCCGGAAACGAUGUCUACUAGCCGUUGGGGCCCUUGAGGCUUUAGUGGCGCAGCUAACGCGAUAGGUAGACCGCCUGGGGAGUACGGUCGCAAGACUAAAACUCAAAUGAAUUGACGGGG